Molecule: ribosomal RNA, 253 nt
Filed under: uncultured bacterium
Lineage: Bacteria
Description: partial 16S ribosomal RNA
Rfam family: Bacterial small subunit ribosomal RNA
Source: RNAcentral
UACAGAGGGUGCAAACGUUGCUCGGAAUUAUUGGGCGUAAAGCGCGCGUAGGCGGUGACUCAAGUCGGAUGUGAAAGCCCUUGGCUUAACCGAGGAAGUGCAUCCGAAACUGAGUCGCUAGAGUUUGGAAGAGGGUCGCGGAAUUCCCGGUGUAGAGGUGAAAUUCGUAGAUAUCUGGAGGAACACCGGUGGCGAAGGCGACAUCCUGGACCGGUAUUGACGCUGAGGCGCGAAAGCCAGGGGAGCAAACGGG